Molecule: ribosomal RNA, 92 nt
Filed under: Streptomyces canus
Lineage: Bacteria; Bacillati; Actinomycetota; Actinomycetes; Kitasatosporales; Streptomycetaceae
Also listed under: 123 other names
Source: RNAcentral
CGCCCGGUUACAUUCCGAACCCGGAAGCUAAGCCUUACAGCGCCGAUGGUACUGCAGGGGGGACCCUGUGGGAGAGUAGGACACCGCCGAAC